GCCCUUAGAGUUUGAUCCUGGCUCAGAUUGAACGCUGGCGGAAUGCUUUACACAUGCAAGUCGAACGGGUUUUGGAGCUUGCUCCAAAGCUAGUGGCGAACGGGUGAGUAAUACGUCGGAAACGUGUCCCGUAGUGGGGGAUAACGCACCGAAAGGUGUGCUAAUACCGCAUAUGCCCCGAGGGGGAAAGCAGGGGGUCGAAAGACCUUGUGCUAUGGGAGCGGCCGACGUCGGAUUAGCUAGUUGGUGGGGUAAAGGCCCACCAAGGCGACGAUCCGUAGCUGGUCUGAGAGGAUGAUCAGCCACUCUGGAACUGAGACACGGUCCAGACUCCUACGGGAGGCAGCAGUGGGGAAUUUUGGACAAUGGGCGAAAGCCUGAUCCAGCCAUUCCGCGUGAGUGAAGAAGGCCUUCGGGUUGUAAAGCUCUUUCGGCAGGGAGGAAACGGCGAACUCUAACAUAGUUUGCUAAUGACGGUACCUGAAGAAGAAGCACCGGCUAACUACGUGCCAGCAGCCGCGGUAAUACGUAGGGUGCGAGCGUUAAUCGGAAUUACUGGGCGUAAAGCGUGCGCAGGCGGUUUUGUAAGUCAGAUGUGAAAGCCCCGGGCUUAACCUGGGAACUGCGUUUGAAACUACAAGGCUAGAGUUUGGCAGAGGGGGGUAGAAUUCCACGUGUAGCAGUGAAAUGCGUAGAUAUGUGGAGGAAUACCGAUGGCGAAGGCAGCCCCCUGGGUCAAAACUGACGCUCAUGCACGAAAGCGUGGGGAGCAAACAGGAUUAGAUACCCUGGUAGUCCACGCCCUAAACGAUGUCAACUAGUUGUCGGGGAGGGUGACCUCUUUGGUAACGCAGCUAACGCGUGAAGUUGAUCGCCUGGGGAGUACGGUCGCAAGAUUAAAACUCAAAUGAAUUGACGGGGAAGGGC
RNAcentral lists this ribosomal RNA (927 nucleotides) under uncultured bacterium. Its description in RNAcentral is "bacterial SSU rRNA". It matches the Rfam family "Bacterial small subunit ribosomal RNA", at positions 1 to 924 of the family's 1533-position model. The record is from RNAcentral.